CCGAAAAAGUCCGAAGAGCACGUCUUUUGUCUUUAAAGGUAUUUCUGACCAAGUUUUCCAUGGAGCAGUAUAGCGCAUCUUAAUGUCAUUAGUGAUUGAUCUAGUAACUGUGGAAUCUAAAAAACUGCAAUAUUUUUAUAUAUAAUGAGUAGUUGUAAGUAAUAAUACAUAUUAAAUCAAUAGCAAAAAGUUGUAUAUGACUUACACAGUUCCUUUCAAUCUAAUCAAUUGUCGAUCAAACGGGUUUGAUGGGAUAGGAUGUCCCAAAUUCGGACCUCUAGUUCUAACUGAUGAUGAUGAGGAUGCGUUUAAACUGCAAUAUUUUUAUAUAUAAUGAGUAGUUGUAAGUAAUAAUACAUAUUAAAUCAAUAGCAAAAAGUUGUAUAUGACUUACACAGUUCCUUUCAAUCUAAUCAAUUGUCGAUCAGACGGGUUUGAUGGGAUAGGAUGUCCCAAAUUCGGACCUCUAGUUCUAACUGAUGAUGAUGAGGAUGCGUUUGC
RNAcentral lists this long non-coding RNA (501 nucleotides) under Manihot esculenta (cassava). RNAcentral's name for it is "long non-coding RNA (MESC_LNC005368)". The record is from RNAcentral. Lineage: Eukaryota; Viridiplantae; Streptophyta; Magnoliopsida; Malpighiales; Euphorbiaceae.